RNAcentral lists this ribosomal RNA (501 nucleotides) under uncultured bacterium. Its description in RNAcentral is "partial 16S ribosomal RNA". It matches the Rfam family "Bacterial small subunit ribosomal RNA", at positions 29 to 523 of the family's 1533-position model. The record is from RNAcentral.
AUUGAACGCUGGCGUCAUGCCUUACACAUGCAAGUCGAACGGCAGCACGGGUGCUUGCACCUGGUGGCGAGUGGCGAACGGGUGAGUAAUACAUCGGAACGUACCUUAUCGGGGGGGAUAACGCAGCGAAAGUUGCGCUAAUACCGCAUACGCACUGAGGGGGAAAGCGGGGGACCGUAAGGCCUCGCGCGCUUAGACGGGCCGAUGUCUGGUUAGCUUGUUGGCGAGGUAAAAGCUCACCAAGGCGAUGAUCAGUAGCUGGUCUGAGCGGACGAUCAGCAACACUGGGACUGGGACACGGCCCAGACUCCUACGGGAGGCAGCAGUGGGGAAUUUUGGACAAUGGGGGCAACCCUGAUCCAGCAAUGCCGCGUGAGUGAAGAAGGCCUUCGGGUUGUAAAGCUCUUUUGUCAGGGAAGAAACAGCAGCUCUAACACGGUCCGGGAAUGACGGUACCUGAAGAAUAAGCACCGGCUAACUACGUGCCAGCCGCCGCGGUAA